AACUGAUACUACCUGCGGGAACCUGCGGAGGGAUCAUUACCGAGUUUCCAAAACUCCCAACCCAUGUGAACCUACCUCUCGUUGCCUCGGCGGGAUCGCCCCGGGUGCCCCAGGCCCCGGACCCAGGCGCCCGCCGCAGGACCCCAAACUCUUGUUUAGUGGAAGCUUCUUCUGAGUGAGAAAACAAAUAAAUCAAAACUUUUAACAAUGGAUCUCU
Molecule: unclassified non-coding RNA, 217 nt
Filed under: soil metagenome
Description: partial contains 5.8S ribosomal RNA, internal transcribed spacer 2, and large subunit ribosomal RNA
Source: RNAcentral